AAGCAACACUUUAAAAGAAACAGUUUACACAAAAGGGGUAUGAUAAAGAUAAUCUAGAUUAUGAAAGCUCAAAUGUUCAAAAACUAGAACGGAAAGAGUAAAUUAAAUAUACGACUAACGAAGAGAAGACAGAUGACAAUAUUCCCCUUAUUUUUAAUUAUAAUUCCAGACAUAGAGAAUUAAGGAAAUUAAUAAAUAAGCAUUGGCAUGUUUUACAAAAAGAUUCAGGUUUAAAAGAUUUUAUAGGACCAAAACCAAAAUUUAUUUUUAGGGGGGCAAGAAAUUUUAAACAGUUUUUAACUUCAAGUUUUUUGGAUCAACCCUCAAAACCCAUCAAUAGCAGUUUUAUGAAUACAAGGGGUUUCUUUUACUGUGGAACAUGCAUGGGUUGUAAAACGAUGAAUAGGAGAACUAACAAAAUCCAAAGUUUUCAAUCUUUCCAAAAUGGUAUGUGUAUGCCUGUCUCCUGCAUGCAUAAAAAAAUGCAUUUGUCUGUGGGAUCAUCAGGUUUCUAUUUUUGCAAGUAACAAACAUGAUCAUCUGGCCACAGGUUCAUAACACACCUGACACUUAAAACCUUCACACUCAUGAUUUUCCAUCACACCAUAACACCCACACGAAUCACAAUAGGUUUUGUUUUUACAGGAUAUUUUACCAGCGUUAGCAAGCUCAUAGUGUAAAUACAUCAAUAUAUACUUUUUAAUAUGAAUAAAGAGUACAAAAUAAGUCUCAUCACAUGAGACACAAAAUGUGCGGUAUUUCUCCUGUCCUGCCCAUGUGGGUAUCAAUAUGUAGGGAGAACCACCAGACAUCUAAAGGUCAGGAUUAGAGAACAUAUAGGAAAUAUAAGACAAUUUGAGAAUCACAAUGUCUCUAAACACUUUG
Pelobates cultripes (western spadefoot toad) is the source of this 885-nucleotide non-coding RNA. Lineage: Eukaryota; Metazoa; Chordata; Amphibia; Anura; Pelobatidae. The record is from the annotation of a GenBank genome assembly.